GACGAACGCUGGCGGCGUGCUUAACACAUGCAAGUCGAACGGAAAGGCCCUGCUUUUGUGGGGUGCUCGAGUGGCGAACGGGUGAGUAACACGUGAGUAACCUGCCCUUGACUUUGGGAUAACUUCAGGAAACUGGGGCUAAUACCGGAUAGGAGCUCCUGCUGCAUGGUGGGGGUUGGAAAGUUUCGGCGGUUGGGGAUGGACUCGCGGCUUAUCAGCUUGUUGGUGGGGUAGUGGCUUACCAAGGCUUUGACGGGUAGCCGGCCUGAGAGGGUGACCGGCCACAUUGGGACUGAGAUACGGCCCAGACUCCUACGGGAGGCAGCAGUGGGGAAUAUUGCACAAUGGGCGGAAGCCUGAUGCAGCAACGCCGCGUGCGGGAUGACGGCCUUCGGGUUGUAAACCGCUUUCGCCUGUGACGAAGCGUGAGUGACGGUAAUGGGUAAAGAAGCACCGGCUAACUGCGUGC
Molecule: ribosomal RNA, 469 nt
Filed under: uncultured bacterium
Lineage: Bacteria
Description: partial 16S ribosomal RNA
Rfam family: Bacterial small subunit ribosomal RNA
Source: RNAcentral